RNAcentral lists this non-coding RNA (29 nucleotides) under Rattus norvegicus (Norway rat). Lineage: Eukaryota; Metazoa; Chordata; Mammalia; Rodentia; Muridae. The record is from RNAcentral.
UAAUAGGGGUGACAAGAUACCCACGAUUC